UUGGGACCGGUGGCUCGGGUGCUGCAGCUGCGUGGGAACCCCGGGGAGCACUUUCCUGAAGACGUCGGCCUCCGGGAGAGGACGAGAGGACGGAGAAUCUCCCCAACGUGUGUGCGGCUGAUCACGGAAGUGAGGCUGAGAUGCCUGUGUCACCAGGGCAAGAAGAAAGGCUCUCUCACCAACAAGCAGUUUGCAUCUGCUGAGAUGUGGGAGAGAGGCACCGAGUCCAGGAACUUCUACAGCAUAUUCCCCCAGCACCUUCAAAAAGAAAUACAGUAGAUUCUCAGAUGGAAAGAAAUUAAUUUUGCUUUGGGGGAAAGCCUAAAACCCUUGGCUAAUCAAUACUAUUUUACCUUAAGAACUUCUGUGCAUUGCUGGAGCAGAAGGCAAGCAUCAUCAGACUGGGAAAUCAUACUUUAAGGAACACCACACAAAACACAAUGUUUUCUGACAUCAGAUGAUGAAUGGACACUAAGGGAAAAACAGUCUUUUCACUGGCCAGCGGGAGCUCAACACGGAGUGCGCAUUUAGAGAAAAUACAAACGGAAGAUUCCCAACAGGAGAAAGAAAAUACUUUCAUGAUUUUCACAGACAGAUACUCCAGAAGUGAUAAUGGAGACCCAGGAGAAUAGGUGGGUCCGGGUGACUGUCCUCCCCGGCUGCGUGGGCUGCAGGACCGUGGCGGUUCCGGUGUCCUGCACCGCGCGCGGCGUCAAGGAGCGCAUCUUCGCAGAGACCGGCUUCCCGGUGUCCGAGCAGCGGCUGUGGCGCGGCGACAGG
Long non-coding RNA from Galeopterus variegatus (Sunda flying lemur), 780 nucleotides. RefSeq lists it as uncharacterized. NCBI's taxonomy places the organism in Eukaryota, Metazoa, Chordata, Mammalia, Dermoptera, Cynocephalidae. The record is from RefSeq and is a predicted model, not a curated record. The transcript is spliced from 3 exons.